CAAAGACGAGUCUUUCAAGUCUGAACCAUAUCAAUCACCUCACCCAACAUAAUGGCACACUUAAUAAAAACUUCAGUUUAAACAUACAUAACAAACUUACUACCCAAUAACAAUGCUUGCAGAGCUUCCAAUAAGAUGUCAACUCAGGUAUGGACAAUGGUCGGCUUGUAGUCGAUCACUACUACUUUCUCCAGUGUGGGAAGGAACUGGUUCGCAAAUUCGACGUGAACAGGAUGACCAAUGUACUCUGCUAUUCCCUCGGUGCUCUCAAACGUUGACUCGAAGACGUGCGUGAAGCCUUGGUGCAAGUUCUCGACACUCACAUCCUUUCCCCUAAUUUCAAAUGAGAAAUGAUUAACCAAGAUCAGGCAUCUGAACAAGCUCUUAAAAAACAUUACAUGACAUAUCACCGGGGCAUUAAUAUGAGAACUCUAGCGCACCCAACUUCUAUUGAUCGAAAAUCUGGUUGACAAAAUAGUGAACACUACGGCAUAAAGAGAAUAGCCAAUGUCCUUUUGCUUCUAGUUGAAUGUUGUGAUUCUAGCCCGACGGAAAGUCUCUUUGAUUGAAGGUGUUUCUUCAGCAUUCUAAUUUGAUUGCAAGAAUCAAAUGUAAGCUCAGAACAAUCUCUGAUCUAGAUAGACAAUGAAUACUCCAAAAUGAUAUGGAUCCUCGCUAGCGAAGGAUAGAUCUAUUGAGAUCACGACACAUCAAGUAAAACAAAUGGUGCGUAAUGUAUCCUGACCUCUGAGGGCAAACUUAGCGAACCACUAAACUCUUGAGUCAUAGAGCUUAAUAACUCGUAUUCUCUAACUACCGGUCAAUCUUUGCUAAUCUAUUUCUCCAAAGAACAUCUGAUUCAAAGAGUUCUUUUCAGGAUCCUAUUGCAGUGGCAAGAUCGAAUCAGACGCUUAGAACAACUCCAAUCCAAAAGACAAUGAACACUCCGAUAUGACUCAGCAAAACAAUUAACCACAAAUCAGGCAGACAAAGCCAACCACAACCCACUUGCCCUCCUCGACUUGAUGUCAACAGCAACAGAAACAGCAGCAAAAACAACAAAAUCUCGACCCCACGAUGAGGUUUCGGAUAUCUAUAAUGUGCACUCAAAGAAAAUGUCUAAGAUCACGGAGAAGCCAAUUACAUAAACUGGGUUCAAAAAAUGCACCAAGAACGAGGGGGAAAUUAAGGGAAAAAGCCCAAAAAAAGGAGAAACACAAUGCACAGAGAUCAGAGAGAGAGAGAGAGAGAGAGAGAGAAGAAUACCAGUGGAAUGAUUUCAUGGGUUCGAUGAGGUUGACGAGAUUGGCGUAACCCUUGAUGAGUUGCUCGAUCUGGUCAGGUGGAAUUUCGUCCUUGAACUUGGCGAGCAGCACAUGCUUCACCAAUCCCUUCGCUUCCUCCAUCGUCAGCUUUCUACUCCCGAGUUCAGAAGUCCCUGUCCGCGACGCACCAUCCCCUUAAUUUAUAGUCCUUCGGAGAGAGUACCCAAACUCCACCCAAGUUUUGGGUAUUACUCGAUUACCCUGCAUAUUUCAAUUUAUUAUAUAUUGCUCCCUGAAUUUGUCACGGUCGUUUACCCUCAUGAUAUUUUUCUGUUGGAGGUCUCUCUUUUACUCUUGCUUUUUAUAAAGAAAUGAAAAGAUAAGGAGAAUGGACGGAAAUAAACCGACGGAUACAUCGACAAAAAUAGAUAACAAUAAUGAUAAUCUGAUGAAUAUAUUAGGUAAAACUGAUAAAAUAUUCUAAGAAAAAGAAAUACAACCAAGUAAAAUGGAAGAAAAGGCCUUAAGAAUAUCACACUAAGUCACUGAUUAUCAUUUCCUUUUUCUUUUCUUUUUUUGUAAAAGGUAAGAACAUAAUGAGUUUUGAACCAAAUUUACAAAAGUUCAGCGCUAAAAACUUACACUCAAAGAGACAACACGUCAUAAUGAGUGGAAGGGAGCUGAAGUAAGAUAGAAAACUACAAAUAAAGCGGACCAAAACAAGCAUAGAACAACCUAAACAACUGACAAAAAGAAACUAGCAAGAAACAACACUAGGCAUCAUAAGGCCGAAUGGACCCCACAACUCAGGUCGCAUUUGCCAACGACAAAAGUGAAGAGCCAUCAAGGAGAUAGCCGCACGCAGGAAGAGCAGCCAUUUGGCAAUCAAAGACAAGCUAGGGCCUUACGGGAGUAGGAGAGUCCCUAGCAGAGAAGAUAAUCGGAUCGAUACCCCAGCUACGCUGCAGCCUCCUAUUUUUAAAAGUAUCGUCCACGUUCCUAAAAGUGAUGACUUUGUCUCUGACGACUUUUAAGAGAUGAUUCUUCACCAUUGGAAUGGCUAAGUUCUGCUCCCUAAAAGUGAUGGCCUUGUCUCCUCCUAUUUCUAAAAGUAUUGUCCUCAUUUCCUUUGAUGAGCUGAGAACAUCAUUUUCUUCUUUUUGUAAUUUUUUGAGUAUUUUAUUGAUCAAUCAUUUUGUACAAUAAUUAACCAUUUAAUUAUACUCAUGUAUAGCUCUGAUGCUCUUGAUGUAAUUUCCCCGUACUCUGUUAACGAAUGAAUAUCAUGCGUAGUUUCGACCAAAAAAAAAAAAUUAUACUCAUGUAUAGCUAAUUUUUCUAAUUGGACCUUUUGUCAUUGAGCCAUCUUCCCUUUCCAUUUAAUUUGUGUUUAUUCUUUUUUCUUAAAUCAUAUUUGUUUAGUUCUAUUAAAGUGGCUAUGUAAUCAUAUUUUGACAGAUUGUUUAAUGUUUUAGCUUAUUUCGUUUUUCAUGUUUUACCACAAUGAAGGGUAAAAGAGAUAAUUCCUCUAAAAAAAAGAGAUGAAAGUAUACAUUUACCCUUCAUAGUUGUAUGCAUUCUACAUGCUAAUGCAAAAAACAUAAAGAGUUAGCGUCUGUAAUAGAACAAAAAUUGAGGGAUUGUAUAACAGUUGAAAGUUCGGGGGCAUAUAUGAAGCCCCAAAGUUUAAAGGACUUUUGUGUGAUUUACUCUAGUUCUUUUUAAUUCUGGGUAGAUGACAACAUUUUGGCAAUGCGAUUAGUGUUUAUAAUAAAUUUUUUUAAACUACAUAUAUUUGAUAUUAGAAACGUGGGUCCUUCUAUUAUGAGGUCCAUUAGUUACCUACUCUAAUGAGUUUUAAAGUAUAAAAUAUGACUUAAAAGUUUAUGAAAUGGCUAGUAUUUCCGGAUAGGGCAUGGAGUAAUAUGAGUGCGUAAAAUGAGUGUAGUAUUGGCACUAGGGAUGAUCAAGUCCAGGGUGGGUAGGGUCUAGACCUAGACCCCGUACCCGACAUUGUUAUAACCGGUUUCUCUUUUCUGGAUCAUAUACCCAACCCUAUUUGUAUUAAACCUUGUACCCAACCUACCCUGUUUUUCCGAUCCGGUUCCAAGGUCAACUCUAUUUCCAUUGGAACUUGUUUUGCAAUCUCCCGAUAUCCUAUAUGACUUUGAAUUUUAUAUUGAUACACAAGAAAAUAACGUAAUUCUCAUAAUUUGUAUUGGAACAUUAAGCAUUUGUAAUAAAUAAAUACAUGAACUUUUUGACUAAACGAAAAAUUAAGGAUCCACAAGGCUAAUUAUAAUAAAUAAAAUCAUAAGACAAAGAAUUAACAACAAACAUAGAUCUAAUAUUAGUCUUAUUCCUACAACUACUACAUGAAGCUACUCAUUUAUGCAAGCAUAACUCCUCCUCUAAAAGAUAGAUUAAGCGAAGCCAAUCCAUGUGAUACACAAGAAUUUGGCGGCAACGAACACCGUUUGUCCAUCAGAUGGUGCGAGAGGGAGCCGGUGAGGGAGGGAAGCAAGUGAGGAAGAGGAAUGACAAAGGAGGAGCGCUGUGUGUGUUUGAGAGAGUCAAGAAGAAAAAGAUCAUGUGAUUGCGGAAGUAAGAAUAGAAAUUGGGGGAAAAAAAAGGUUUUGGACCUCUACUUACAAAACCGGUUCGAAAACCGGUCCAAGAAUUGAUUUGUAGGUGGGUAAUCACUCGGAACCUAUUCCCGGACCGAUUUAAACCGAUUCCGAAUUUUGGGAACCAAUUCCCAAACCGGUUUCAACGGGAACCGGUUCCCGACCCUGUUUUCCGUAGGGGUGAUCGGUUCCUGGUUCGGUCCGGUUCGGUCCGGUUCCAAGGUGGAACCGGGAACCGGACCGGGAGAAUCGGUUCCCAAUUUUGGGAACCAUGGACUGGACCGUUGGUCUUAGGACCGAGAAUCGGACCGGACCAUCGGUUCAGGUCCAGUCCGGUCCGGUCCAAAAGAAUUGGCACUUUAUUUUUUCACUAAAGAAUGACCAUUCACUAAAGAAUAAUCAUGCUCCGGACCGAUCAAUUAAAUUCGGUUUCCGAGCAAUCUAAUAAAACUACUCACAUAUGGUUCCACGUGCAAAAUAUUCAAACUUCACUUGUGUGAAUAUCAAUCAUAGUUUAUGUGUUUCAUGCUUAAUUUUAAGCAUAAAACCCAUGAAUAACGUGAUUAAAGGUUGUGCUUGGCUUAGGUUUUAUAGACAAUCUCUCUUCUAUACUUUGAAUGUUUAGUCGAUAUGAGACUUUUUAAGGCUUGAAGUGCCUUGUCGUUUGCAAGUGAGGGGAGCAAGAGAGAGAGUGUGAGCAUGAGGAGAAUUUUUUUAUAUAAAUAAAGAGUAACAACAAGAGUUUUGGUGGUUUCUUGGCCACAUAAGAGGUUGUUACCUAAAUUGCAAUUCCGAUUGCAAUAAGUUUCAUAUAUAAUAUUAAUAUAUUAUACGUGUUUAUAUAUUAUAUGAAUAUAAAUUAUAUAUAAAAAAAUUUGGUCUGGUUCGGUUGGUUCGGUUCCCACCUUGGAACUGGGAACCGGACCAUCAACCAUGGGAACUGCCCAAAACCGGCCGGUCCGGUCCGGUUCGGUCCGGUUCCGGUUCGGGCGGUUUCCGUUGCACACCCCUAGUUUUCCGAGUGGCUAGUCUGAGAACCGGUAUACCCGGUCCGGUUGCACACCUCUAAUCGGCACAAUUAACUCCAAAUGCUAGAGGACUUAUGGGCCAAAAGUUAAGCCUAGCCUAAUAGAAGACCUUGUAUUCGUCCGGGUGGUCCUAACUAAUCUUUAGAAUAAUACGGUAAAAGAGACAAACGAAAGCUAGUAGAAAAGAUAAGAAAAGUCGAUAAUUUGCAAAGUAUUAUAUUUUUUAACCCACGGGUUUUUAACAUUUAUCAACUCUUUAGUAAUUAAACAAGAAGGAAAAAAAUUAGUUCUUUUUUCGCAAACGAAAUAGUAGAAUUGCCAGCUUGAAUUAGUCCUCAACUAGACUUGUAUCAGUGGUUAUUAUAACUUAAAUGAAAGUUGGUAAUCCAAAAUUAGUUGAUAACUCAAUUGACGAAAAUUUCAUAAUUUACUCGUAUUUUUGUUGUAAUUUUAUAUAAGAGUUGAUAAACUUAGAGGUUAGUAAGGAAGACAAAAAGUUGAUAAAUUAAAAAGAAAAAGAAAAUUACCUGUAGUUUGUACUCAACACUAGUUGGUUACAUUAUAGAAGAGAAGUUGGUUUGUCACACCAAUACAUAUUGGAAAAUUCACAUAAAAUUUGGUAAAUUUAAGCCGUUAGCAAGAUAAAAAGAGAAAAAUUGAUAAGUCAUUACAAAAGUUAAUGAAUUCGAAUAAAAACAUACAAAAGAGAACUCAGGUAAAUUAACUAAUCCAAAUGAGAGUUGAUAACUUAAUUAGAAAUGAGAAGACGAUUCACCUUAAUUUAGACUGAUAAUUUUUGAAGAGGAUUGGUAAAUGUUGGGAGCUGGUAGAGGUAAAUAAAAGUUAGUAAAUAAAAUUUUGGUAAACUAAAAAUUAGUAUCUUAAGAGAAACAAAUGGUAAAUUAAAAGUAAGCAAAUAAAUAUGAGUGAGUAACUCAAAUAAGAGGAGGUUAACCAAAACUAGCUGGCUACCUAAUAGAAAAAGAUUGGUAAAGACAUUUGUCAAGAUAGACAAAUAAAAGCUAGUAAAAGAUAAGAAAAGUCCAUAUUUUGCUAGAAAGCCCGUUUUAUAAAAUCUUCUAGAGAAUUAAAGUCUUAUGUUUUUUAAGGAGAAAAUUGCCCAAGCGAUUUAAAAUUAUUAUACAUAUGUUAAUUUAGUCAUAAAUCUUUUAAUUUAGCAAAUUUAGUCAUCAACCUUUGCACAAAAUUCUAAUAUAAGCCUUAAUAUUAAUUUUCGUUAGAAAUCCCUGACAUAGUAGUCUAGUAUGACAUCAUUGACUCGUAUCGCAGGUCACCCACUCCCACCCGGCUCGAGGAUGGGUCAUAUAAUUUGGGAUCGCACGGGACUUAUCCACCAGUGUAACAUUCCAUACACAGUGGGCGUGAGAUUCAGGACAUAAACAACAAAUGAUCCCUAACGAAAAGGCUUUUCCUAUCAUAGCAAGAGGUUCAAAAAGACGUCCCGUUCUUCUACCAAACAUAUCGUAGCAAGAGGUUCAAAAAGACAUCUCGUUCUUCGACCAAACAUUCUGCAUUUUCCUGCAUGUUAUUGUCUGUUCAUACGAAUUCAGUAAGAUUUUCCAGUAUUUAACCUAAGGCAUAAACUUUACUAAAAGCUCCGUGACAACCUAAAGAAAAAAUGCAAUGAAUGGACAGACCAGGUUUGUCCUCAUAAAUCUGGAUUUAGAUAAAACAUAUUCCCCAUGGUGAUACAGCAUUAUAUUUUGCCUUGUAAUAUGCAAAGACGAGUCUCUCGAGUCUGAACCAUAUCAAUCACCUUACCAAUAUAAUGGCACAGUUAAAAAAAAACUUCGGUUUUGCCAUACAUAACAAACUUAUUAUUCAAUCACAAUGCUUGCAGAGCUUCCAAUGCGAUGCCAACUCAGGUAUGGACAAUGGUCGGCUUGUAGUCGAUCACGACUAGUUUCUCCAGUACAGGAACGAGCUGGUUCGCGAAUUCAACAUGUGCAGGAUGACCAAUGUACUCCGCCAUUCCCUCGGUGCUCUCAAAUGUUGACUCGAAGACGUGUGUGA
RNAcentral lists this long non-coding RNA (6954 nucleotides) under Eucalyptus grandis. Its description in RNAcentral is "long non-coding RNA (EGRA_LNC000939)". Lineage: Eukaryota; Viridiplantae; Streptophyta; Magnoliopsida; Myrtales; Myrtaceae. The record is from RNAcentral.